CGGGGAGUGAACGCAGUGAACGGACACCAUUGCUUCGGGAGCAAGGGGUCGGAGGUUCAAAUCCUCUCGCCCCGACCA
RNAcentral lists this transfer RNA (78 nucleotides) under Desulfuromonas sp. Its description in RNAcentral is "tRNA-Pro". The record is from RNAcentral. Lineage: Bacteria; Pseudomonadati; Thermodesulfobacteriota; Desulfuromonadia; Desulfuromonadales; Desulfuromonadaceae.